This 75-nucleotide small RNA is filed under the name Enterovirga rhinocerotis. Its description in RNAcentral is "Makes More Granules Regulator RNA (mmgR)". It matches the Rfam family "Makes More Granules Regulator RNA (mmgR)". Rfam says of the family: SuhB later renamed mmgR (makes more granules regulator) was a putative non-coding RNA found multiple times in the Agrobacterium tumefaciens genome and related alpha-proteobacteria. Other non-coding RNAs uncovered in the same analysis include: speF, ybhL, metA, and serC. Several studies inSinorhizobium meliloti showed that suhB element is indeed a non-coding RNA:firstly it was detected on Northern blot and called Sm8RNA, secondly in an RNAseq study referred to as SmelC689. The record is from Rfam by way of RNAcentral. Lineage: Bacteria; Pseudomonadati; Pseudomonadota; Alphaproteobacteria; Hyphomicrobiales; Methylobacteriaceae.
UUGCGCUGCCCUCCUUGGGCGUUUCCUCCCUAGACUGCGGCCUGCCCUCCGGGGUGGGCCGCUUUUUCGGGAGCA